CCUACGGGAGGCAGCAGUGGGGAAUUUUGGACAAUGGGCGCAAGCCUGAUCCAGCCAUGCCGCGUGCGGGAAGAAGGCCUUCGGGUUGUAAACCGCUUUUGUCAGGGAAGAAAUCUUCUGAGUUAAUACCUCGGGAGGAUGACGGUACCUGAAGAAUAAGCACCGGCUAACUACGUGCCAGCAGCCGCGGUAAUACGUAGGGUGCGAGCGUUAAUCGGAAUUACUGGGCGUAAAGCGUGCGCAGGCGGUCUUGCAAGACAGGUGUGAAAUCCCCGGGCUUAACCUGGGAACUGCACUUGUGACUGCAAGGCUGGAGUACGGCAGAGGGGGAUGGAAUUCCGCGUGUAGCAGUGAAAUGCGUAGAUAUGCGGAGGAACACCGAUGGCGAAGGCAAUCCCCUGGGCCUGUACUGACGCUCAUGCACGAAAGCGUGGGGAGCAAACAGGAUUAGAUACCCUGGUAGUCCACGCCCUAAACGAUGUCAACUGGUUGUUGGACGGCUUGCUGUUCAGUAACGAAGCUAACGCGUGAAGUUGACCGCCUGGGGGAGGUACGGCCGCGAGUAGAACGUACGAAAGGAAGUUAGACGGCGUGAGACGUGACCGAACGGACGACGACGAGGGAGGUUAGG
This 631-nucleotide ribosomal RNA is filed under the name uncultured bacterium. Its description in RNAcentral is "bacterial SSU rRNA". The stretch from base 1 to 542 matches the Rfam family "Bacterial small subunit ribosomal RNA", at positions 338 to 873 of the family's 1533-position model. The record is from RNAcentral.